UUCGAACGAGCGAGAGAGAGCUUGCUUUCUCGAGCGAGUGGCGAACGGGUGAGUAACGCGUGAGGAACCUGCCUCAAAGAGGGGGACAACAGUUGGAAACGACUGCUAAUACCGCAUAAGCCCACGGGUCGGCAUCGACCAGAGGGAAAAGGAGUGAUCCGCUUUGAGAUAGCCUCGCGUCCGAUUAGCUAGUUGGUGAGGUAACGGCCCACCAAGGCGACGAUCGGUAGCCGGACUGAGAGGUUGAACGGCCACAUUGGGACUGAGACACGGCCCAGACUCCUACGGGAGGCAGCAGUGGGGAAUAUUGCACAAUGGGGGAAACCCUGAUGCAGCGACGCCGCGUGGAGGAAGAAGGUCUUCGGAUUGUAAACUCCUGUUGUUGGGGAAGAUAAUGACGGUACCCAACAAAGGAGGUGACGGCUAACUACGUGCCAGCAGCCGCGGUAAAACGUAGGUCACAAGCGUUGUCCGGAAUUACUGGGUGUAAAGGGAGCGCAGGCGGGAAGACAAGUUGGA
RNAcentral lists this ribosomal RNA (519 nucleotides) under uncultured bacterium. RNAcentral describes it as "bacterial SSU rRNA". It matches the Rfam family "Bacterial small subunit ribosomal RNA", at positions 61 to 592 of the family's 1533-position model. The record is from RNAcentral.